This 253-nucleotide ribosomal RNA is filed under the name uncultured bacterium. Its description in RNAcentral is "partial 16S ribosomal RNA". It matches the Rfam family "Bacterial small subunit ribosomal RNA", at positions 524 to 776 of the family's 1533-position model. The record is from RNAcentral.
UACGUAGGGAGCAAGCGUUGUCCGGAAUCAUUGGGCGUAAAGCGCGCGUAGGCGGCCCUGUAAGUCCGCUGUGAAAGUCAAGGGCUCAACCCUUGGAUGCCGGUGGAUACUGCAGGGCUAGAGUCCGGAAGAGGCGAGUGGAAUUCCUGGUGUAGCGGUGAAAUGCGCAGAUAUCAGGAGGAACACCGAUGGCGAAGGCAGCUCGCUGGGACGGUACUGACGCUGAGGCACGAAGGUCAGGGGAGCAAACGGG